UACGAGAGGUCCAACCGUUAUUCGGAAUCACUGGGCGUAAAGCGCACGUAGGCGGGUCCUUAAGUCAGGGGUGAAAUCCUGGAGCUCAACUCCAGAACUGCCUUUGAUACUGAGGAUCUCGAGUUCGGGAGAGGUGAGUGGAACUGCGAGUGUAGAGGUGAAAUUCGUAGAUAUUCGCAAGAACACCAGUGGCGAAGGCGGCUCACUGGCCCGAUACUGACGCUGAGGUGCGAAAGCGUGGGGAGCAAACAGG
RNAcentral lists this ribosomal RNA (253 nucleotides) under uncultured bacterium. Its description in RNAcentral is "partial 16S ribosomal RNA". It matches the Rfam family "Bacterial small subunit ribosomal RNA", at positions 524 to 776 of the family's 1533-position model. The record is from RNAcentral.